This 72-nucleotide transfer RNA is filed under the name Ovis aries (sheep). It matches the Rfam family "tRNA". Rfam says of the family: Transfer RNA (tRNA) molecules are approximately 80 nucleotides in length. Their secondary structure includes four short double-helical elements and three loops (D, anti-codon, and T loops). The record is from Rfam by way of RNAcentral. Lineage: Eukaryota; Metazoa; Chordata; Mammalia; Artiodactyla; Bovidae.
UCCCUGGUGGCUCAGAUGGUAAAGCGUCUGCCUGCAAUGCGGGAGAUCCAGGUUCGAUCCCUGGGUUGGGAA